AUGGCUUGGCUGAAGAGGGCUAUCUACAGUGGCGGAACUAGAACAUUAACUCAGGGGUAUCCCAAAUUUUUUUUUCACCGUGCAAUCAUACAAUACUAAAAAAAACGACAAUAAAUAAAUAAAAUAAAACAAAUACCUAAUAAAUUUGUCCUCUUCUUUUUUUCAUAGCUUGAAAUCGUUUCAUCACAUCGUCAUCUUUUUCUUCACGUAAAAAAUCCUUUUCGACCGCACAAACCAUAGCAUUGUUCAAAAAUUUUGGGCCCAUUCGAUUGCGUAAAUCCGUUUUGACAAGCUUCAAUUUCGAAAAAACAUAUUUCAACGGUUGCGGUUGCAAUUGGUCAAGCAAAGCUAGCUUCACUACCCGAUAAACUGAAGGACAAGAACUAUGCGUUCCCGUUUCAACCAUAACACGCGCUAGAUCACUUAUUCCAUUCAAGUUUGCAAAUUUAUCAUCAUCGCUUAUAGUGUGACGAAACGAGCAAUUGGGAUUUGUGCUUAUUAUUUUCAAUUAAUUGGUAUUCUCGUAGUUGUGUCGUGCAUUAAAACUUCAGGGCAAUUGGACAAUUAUUUACAAUCUUUUAUUAUUUUGGGCUAACAUAUUGGGCAAUUAGGCUUAUUAUUUACAAUCUUCAAUUGAUUUGGGCUAACAUAUUGGGCAAUUGAGAUUUGGGCCUAUUAUUUUCCAUUGAUUUGGGCUUACAUACUUUUUUUAGGGGUGUCCUCGUAGUUGUUCAGGGGUAUCCUUGGUAUAAAAACCGAAAAAAAAAUAAUUUUUUACGCUACCGAUAAAAAGUUGAGCCGUAGCCCGUGCUACGGCUUGGUACACAUAGGGUCCGCC
This 838-nucleotide long non-coding RNA is filed under the name Helianthus annuus (common sunflower). RNAcentral describes it as "hypothetical non coding rna". The record is from RNAcentral. Lineage: Eukaryota; Viridiplantae; Streptophyta; Magnoliopsida; Asterales; Asteraceae.